UCUGAUUCACGCAGAGCUCAAGACAGAGUAAAGCAGACACAAGCAUGAGGGACCUUUACAAUUUACAGUUUCAGAUGUGUCCAACGAAUUUAAGGGACUUUGUAAAUUGUUCCACGGAUGUGAGACACUGCCGGAUCGCCCAUCAAUAACCCCAUUGCAAGUUGAGUGAAGCCAUAAAAUAUUUGACUGGCCAAUGAUAAUAUUGGAAUGUUAAAUGAAAAUUUUACUGAACAGGCCAAAAGCACUCAUUUAAGUGUGAUCUAUAUCAGCUAUUUCAGUGCAACAUGGAACUAAACACAACCCUGACAACAAAGGAAACUCGAUUAUCUGAAGAAUAUCUCAAGGUUCCGAUAGAAACAUUACAUCAAAGAGGUGUUUCAACACUGAUCCUGUCUUUUGUUUAUAAUGAUUAAAAAUGAACUCAGCUUACUGAAAUACUGCCGAGAGCAGUCCUGCGCAUCGAUGGGAGCCCAGGCACCGUCUCCAAAUGACUGACCUCCUGCCCUCUCUCCCUCCCCACACUUUCCCUGGAGUUCUAUAGAGGGGUGUACCCUAAACCCCACCCCCCCUUCCCCAGAUAAU
This is a long non-coding RNA of Hemiscyllium ocellatum (epaulette shark), 582 nucleotides long. RefSeq lists it as uncharacterized. The record is from RefSeq and is a predicted model, not a curated record. The transcript has 3 exons. Lineage: Eukaryota; Metazoa; Chordata; Chondrichthyes; Orectolobiformes; Hemiscylliidae.